ACGAAGGGUGCAAGCGUUACUCGGAAUUACUGGGCGUAAAGGGUGCGUAGGUGGUUUUUUAAGUCUGCUGUGAAAUCCCCGGGCUCAACCUGGGAACUGCCUUUGUGACUGCAAGGCUGGAGUGCGGCAGAGGGGGAUGGAAUUCCGCGUGUAGCAGUGAAAUGCGUAGAUAUGCGGAGGAACACCGAUAGCGAAGGCAAUCCCCUGGGCCUGCACUGACGCUCAUGCACGAAAGCGUGGGGAGCAAACAGGA
This 253-nucleotide ribosomal RNA is filed under the name uncultured prokaryote. RNAcentral describes it as "partial 16S ribosomal RNA". It matches the Rfam family "Bacterial small subunit ribosomal RNA", at positions 525 to 777 of the family's 1533-position model. The record is from RNAcentral.